Marmota flaviventris (yellow-bellied marmot) is the source of this 1788-nucleotide long non-coding RNA. RefSeq lists it as uncharacterized. The record is from RefSeq and is a predicted model, not a curated record. NCBI's taxonomy places the organism in Eukaryota, Metazoa, Chordata, Mammalia, Rodentia, Sciuridae.
UGCGGCGAGCUUGAUGGCGGCGCGGCUGCUCUCACACGCACUGGUGGAAGGAGAGGCCGCGCUCUCGGCUCAGCAUGGUGUCUCGGGUACUGCAGCCCACUGCAGAGCAACUUCGGGUCAUCUUGUUACAUGGGGCUCCACCUCCAGGCUUCCCGCGACAGCUUGAAUCACGAUAAAUUUAGCUCCGCCCGUUGACUCCGCGUCUUGGACCUUUAUUUAUGAGGGAAGGCGGGCUUUACAGGCGAGGCACUCCCACUCUGCCUCUCUGUAGGCUCACCGGUUGACGCCCUAGCCAAUCACGGAGCAUGGCGUGUCGUAGAGGCCAAUCGGAAAGGUCAGUGGCAUUAAGACUUGCUCUUGACCGCUCCUUCUCGGCCUUUGGGUGCGUGGUAGGGUUAGCUGUAACUGGAUUGUUUUCCUACUUGGAAUGAAUCCGGCGCCAUCGCGUGUUUUGUGAGGCCAGUUCUGAGAAUAUGAAGCAGAGAGGAAGGGCCAAAAUUGAGGCGAAUAUGAAGCAUGCGGAUGGGACUUCGGGUGCGAUCUCUGAAACUGGAGGCUCUCUGAUUCGGAGACAAUGUAGGAGAUGUUGUCAUGGUUGGCGUUAAAAAUGUGAUUUCGGAGGAGCUUGAGCGAAGAGUAUGAAGUGAGCAUGCUCCGACAUUCAAAGAAUCCCUUUCCGAAAGCUACUUUGCUACGAUGAGGAGUCAAGGAAAUAAGAUUCCAGCCAAAAAGAUUCGUAUCAAGGAGAUAAUGGGAAAAGAUGUGGAUCUUGGAUAAGAAGUCUAAAUAUUCAGGGAAGGACUAAAAUUGAAGGUUGUUUUUCUUAGAGAAAAUCACUUAUUGUAUUUAUUUGAUCAAGAAUUAGAAGAUUUAUAUGUAAUAAGAACUUCACUCCUUGAAGACUUGAAGAUUAUUGAAAUGAAAGGGGGAGUCACAAUUUUCAGAAUAAUAUUUUUUUGACCAUAUAUAAAUCCUAAUUUGAAUUGUUCUUUAAAUUAUCUCCACAUGUUGUUCUACCUUUACUGAGUAAUUCAGUCUUGAAACUAGCACUCUUUGAGAGAAGUUUUGUUUUUAUUUGAUCCAGGACAAUACUUGAUUAAUUUAUAGUCAGCUAUUAAAAGAUUAAAAAUUGACCUUUCUGAAAUGAUUAUUUUCUUUUUCAGUACAGUAGUCUUAAUAGGUACAAGUAUCAGUUACCAAAGUAUUAACUGAAAAUAGUUAUAUAAAUUUUGCUGCUAGUUCUUCAGUUCACAAAUUAUUUUGCAAAUAAAAGAUGUACAUCAUGAUCAGUGACCACUCACUUCUUUUAAAGUCUGAUGGUGAUUGUUUACUAAUAAUUUAUUCAGUCCUUGCACUGAUAGCAAAGUGCAUAGAUUUACUGCUUUCUUGUAUCCCAGAGACUGAACUCUUUUACAAAAAUGGAUAAUCAAAAGAAGGAAUUGGUCAAUAAAGAUGACAGUGUAGCAAAGAAAUGAAAAUGGAUAAUGCUAGAAGUGAAAGUGGGUGUGAUUAGAAGAUUUGAAAGUGUCAGCUGCAAAGCAAAGCCUGCAGGAAGCUACAGUGUGAACUGCAUUGCAUAUAUAGUUAGUUGCCACCAUAUCUUAAUUUAAAUUGUGCUACUAACAGAAAGCCAUUUACAGUCAAAAUUGAAGACUGAUCAAAAACAGAUCCCAGUUUGGCUAGCUAGCAUUCAGGCCCAAGCACUGUUGUUAGCUGUUGCAAUGAAAGAAAAUAAUUACAAUGAAACUGAAAAUAAAAAUUUUACUGCCAGUAAAGCUGGAUUCAUUA